This 774-nucleotide ribosomal RNA is filed under the name uncultured Neocallimastigales. Its description in RNAcentral is "partial large subunit ribosomal RNA". It matches the Rfam family "Eukaryotic large subunit ribosomal RNA", at positions 24 to 646 of the family's 3401-position model. The record is from RNAcentral. Lineage: Eukaryota; Fungi; Neocallimastigomycota; Neocallimastigomycetes; Neocallimastigales.
GUAGUCUCGCACAGAUGCAUAUCAAUAAGCGGAGGAAAAGAAACUAACAAGGAUUCCCCUAGUAACGGCGAGUGAAGCGGGAAGAGCUCAAAUUUGAAAUCUUAAAGGGUUUCCCUUUACGAAUUGUAGUUUAAAGAAGUGUUUUCUGUUGAGGUUUUGGUAAAAGUUCUUUGGAAUAGGACAUCAUAGAGGGUGAGAGUCCCGUAUUUGACCUUUACUUUCAACUUUGUGAUACACUUUCAAAGAGUCGGAUUGUUUGGGAAUGCAGUCCAAAAUGGGUGGUAAAUUUCAUCUAAAGCUAAAUAUUGGCGAGAGACCGAUAGCGAACAAGUACCGUGAGGGAAAGAUGAAAAGAACUUUGAAAAGAGAGUUAAACAGUACGUGAAAUUGUCAAAAGGGAAGCGUUUGACACCAGUGUUGUUUUUCUGAAAAUCAAUUAAAGAACUGUUUAUGCUAAGUUGUUUAGACUUUAUCAGCUAACUGUUUAGUUUUGAGCUUUUCUUUAAUGCACUUUUCAGUUAACAAGUCAACAUCAAUUUCUUUUGCUGUAAAAAAGCUUGAGGAAGGUGGCUUGAGAUUCGUCUUAAGUGUUUAUAGCCUCUUGCCUAUGCAGUCGGAGAGAUUGAGGUCUGCAGCGUAGAUCCUUCGGGGCUAAAUGCAUUUGUGCUAAGUUAUAGCAUUUCAUAGACAACUUGUUGACUAUGAUUUGUCUUGUAGCUUACUCGCUUAUGUUAUUUUACCUACGCUUAGGAUGUUGAUCUGUAGUGCGUGCGC